RNAcentral lists this transfer RNA (72 nucleotides) under Solirubrobacterales bacterium. RNAcentral's name for it is "tRNA-Gln". It matches the Rfam family "tRNA". Rfam says of the family: Transfer RNA (tRNA) molecules are approximately 80 nucleotides in length. Their secondary structure includes four short double-helical elements and three loops (D, anti-codon, and T loops). Lineage: Bacteria; Bacillati; Actinomycetota; Thermoleophilia; Solirubrobacterales. The record is from RNAcentral.
UGGGGAGUGGUGUAACGGCAGCACACAGGCCUUUGGAGCCUUGAGGUCGCGGUUCAAAUCCGCGCUCCCCAG